CUUCAUGCUUCUCGGAUUAAGAAUCCUAUCCUUGCAAUAGGCACUGGGUGUUAAUUAAAAAGUUUUAAAGAGAACAGAGGUGGGACCAUUCAUGUUUCAGAAAGAUCAGUGAAUGCAGCAUGGAGGUUGGAUUGGAAGUUGAGACAAUAUGACCUGCAGGAACUGAUUAGAAGAUAAGAGAACAGAUAAAGGCUUGAACUAAAACAAUGUCAGAGCUGAAUUCUAAGGAUAUUCAUAGAUAGAAUCAUCAAGGAAGGAUUAGUGGCUGAUGAGAUAUGAGGAGUUAGGAAGUGAUAGCUUCUGGGAUUCUCCUGUGAGUUAAUUAUCAGACAGCCUACCAAAGAUAGGAACUAUAAGGUGACAGGAACAUUUUGGUUAAAAAUGAGUUUCUUGUUGAUCACUUUGAAAGGUAUAUCAUAUAUUUGAAAG
This 429-nucleotide long non-coding RNA is filed under the name Bos taurus (domestic cattle). RNAcentral describes it as "long non-coding RNA NONBTAT007332". The record is from RNAcentral. Lineage: Eukaryota; Metazoa; Chordata; Mammalia; Artiodactyla; Bovidae.